AUACGGGGGGUGCUAGCGUUAUUCGGAAUCAUUGGGCGUAAAGGGCGCGUAGGCGGUCUUUAAAGUCAGAUGUGAAAGCCCUCGGCUUAACCGAGGAAGUGCAUUUGAUACUAAAAGACUUGAGUAUGGGAGAGGAAAGCGGAAUUCCUGGUGUAGCGGUGAAAUGCGUAGAUAUCAGGAGGAACACCGGUGGCGAAGGCGGCUUUCUGGCCCGAUACUGACACUGAGGCGCGAAGGCCGGGGGAGC
RNAcentral lists this ribosomal RNA (247 nucleotides) under uncultured bacterium. RNAcentral describes it as "partial 16S ribosomal RNA". It matches the Rfam family "Bacterial small subunit ribosomal RNA", at positions 523 to 769 of the family's 1533-position model. The record is from RNAcentral.